Small nucleolar RNA from Leptobrachium leishanense (Leishan spiny toad), 118 nucleotides. The record is from Ensembl. NCBI's taxonomy places the organism in Eukaryota, Metazoa, Chordata, Amphibia, Anura, Megophryidae.
GCUGAGGAAUGAUGACAUAAAAGGCCGAAUUCCAGCGCUGCCUCCAAGCAGUUUACUCUCUGGGUGAGGCGGCGCGAUGAAAAAAACUCCUUGAAGCGAAAUCAAAACUGACCUCAGC